AGUGAACGCUGGCGGUAGGCCUAACACAUGCAAGUCGAACGGCAGCACAGUAAGAGCUUGCUCUUACGGGUGGCGAGUGGCGGACGGGUGAGGAAUACAUCGGAAUCUACUUUUUCGUGGGGGAUAACGUAGGGAAACUUACGCUAAUACCGCAUACGACCUACGGGUGAAAGCAGGGGAUCUUCGGACCUUGCGCGAUUGAAUGAGCCGAUGUCGGAUUAGCUAGUUGGCGGGGUAAAGGCCCACCAAGGCGACUAUCCGUAGCUGGUCUGAGAGGAUGAUCAGCCACACUGGAACGUAGACACGGUCCAGACUCCUACGGGAGGCAGCAGUGGGGAAUAUUGGACAAUGGGCGCAAGCCUGAUCCAGCCAUACCGCGUGGGUGAAGAAGUCCUUCGGGUUGUAAAGCCCUUUUGUUGGGAAAGAAAAGCAGCAGGUUAAUACCCCGCUGUUCUGACGGUACCCAAAGAAUAAGCACCGGCUAACUUCGUG
This 492-nucleotide ribosomal RNA is filed under the name uncultured bacterium. Its description in RNAcentral is "partial 16S ribosomal RNA". It matches the Rfam family "Bacterial small subunit ribosomal RNA", at positions 29 to 507 of the family's 1533-position model. The record is from RNAcentral.